AAAAAAUUUGAAAUCUCAAUCGUUGUGUGCUGAUGAAGGAAUUCUAACAUAUCUCUCCGCAGAGUGACGAGAAUGGUGAUGAGAAUUAGAAGAAAAGAAUUCUCGUCAAAAAGCCUCCUACUUUUUGAAACCGUGUAAUCCCCAUAAUCUGCAUGAUGCUUCCUGUCAUUAUUGUCAGAAUCGGUGCCAUGCCGCUUUAACCAGAAGUAGAGUGCUCUCUGACGUGAUUAUUCUAACCAUCAAUUUGGUUCAUAAGGAAGAAGGAGAGGGUUCCAAGUCCUAGGUAGAAGGAUAACAGUACGAAAACAAUAUUGAAUCUCAGUGUUUGCACCCCAAGUAAUGAGCCUAUCCAUUGAUUACCAGACCCAUUAUUAUUCUUGGCAUUUUCUUCAUGUGCUGGGUUCUUGUUGUCAUCAGAUUUGUGGUUAACGGUUUGCUUAGAUCUUCGUCUUUGAAAGGUUGCAUUUCUUCCUGUGGCAUUUGAUGGGGGGUCGUUUGCAUCAGAAAGCAGAGAUCUUGUAGCAUCAUUGUCAUUACUAGCCAUCACGUUUCCAAAUUACCUGUCAUAUAUAUAUAAGAUGAAAAACAAAAAAGCACCAAAGUAUUACCAGAACCCGAUUGAAAACCAAGCUGCAAUCAGUCCAGCUCCCCACCGCAAACCUCUAGGGUUUCCAAAUGAGAGAAAAAGAAAGUACAAAACAGAGAGGGAUGGAGAAAUUAAAUUACCAGGAGGAAUCCU
RNAcentral lists this long non-coding RNA (739 nucleotides) under Linum usitatissimum (flax). RNAcentral describes it as "long non-coding RNA (LUSI_LNC002914)". The record is from RNAcentral. Lineage: Eukaryota; Viridiplantae; Streptophyta; Magnoliopsida; Malpighiales; Linaceae.